UACGUAGGUGGCAAGCGUUGUCCGGAAUUACUGGGUGUAAAGGGAGCGUAGGCGGGAAGGCAAGUUGAAUGUUAAAUCUAUCGGCUCAACCGGUAGCCGCGUUCAAAACUGUUUUUCUUGAGUGAAGUAGAGGUUGGCGGAAUUCCUAGUGUAGCGGUGAAAUGCGUAGAUAUUAGGAGGAACACCAGUGGCGAAGGCGGCCGACUGGGCUUUUACUGACGCUGAGGCUCGAAAGCGUGGGGAGCAAACAGG
This 252-nucleotide ribosomal RNA is filed under the name uncultured prokaryote. RNAcentral describes it as "partial 16S ribosomal RNA". It matches the Rfam family "Bacterial small subunit ribosomal RNA", at positions 524 to 776 of the family's 1533-position model. The record is from RNAcentral.